Molecule: unclassified non-coding RNA, 456 nt
Filed under: Hevea brasiliensis (rubber tree)
Lineage: Eukaryota; Viridiplantae; Streptophyta; Magnoliopsida; Malpighiales; Euphorbiaceae
Source: RNAcentral
GAGAGAGGGAGGGAGAGGUGGAGAAUUGAGAGUCUUAAAUCUAAGAGUUUUCUUUUCCCUCUUUUUUUUGGUCCAUUUUUGAGGCUUAUUGGACUAUGCUACAAAAUGGCCAAUUUAUUGUUUGGGAGAGAGGGAGAAAAGUGCAAAGGGAGGGGGCUAUUCAUCUUCCACCCUCAUAAUAACAAAUCAUCUUUACCUGUAAGUCAGUGAUGUAGAACGAGAAGAACACAAAAGACACAACAAAUUUUCAACUUUAUUAAUUCUCAAUAUCAAUAACAAGAAUGAUAAACUCCCCUAAAAUAUGUAGAGUUACAAUCCUCAACAAGAAAUUACUAAGCAAUAUCUAAUUAGGAAUCUCACACUAAUGCUAAAAGGAAAAUACUAAACCUAAUUACUCUUUAAAUAUUGCUAAACAAUAAAAAUAUAACUUCUUAAUUAAAUUUCCUAAACAAUAAA